UGAGGAAUAUUGGUCAAUGGGCGAGAGCCUGAACCAGCCAAGUCGCGUGCAGGAUGACUGCCUUAUGGGUUGUAAACUGCUUUUAUACAGGAAUAACAACAGGGACGUGUCCCUGGAUGAAUGUACUGUAAGAAUAAGGAUCGGCUAACUCCGUGCCAGCAGCCGCGGUAAUACGGAGGAUCCGAGCGUUAUCCGGAUUUAUUGGGUUUAAAGGGUGCGUAGGCGGUCUUUUAAGUCAGUGGUGAAAGUUUGCAGCUUAACUGUAAAAUUGCCAUUGAAACUGGAGGACUUGAGUGCGGUAGAGGUAAGCGGAAUGCGUGGUGUAGCGGUGAAAUGCAUAGAUAUCACGCAGAACCCCGAUUGCGAAGGCAGCUUACUGGACCGUUACUGACGCUGAGGC
Molecule: ribosomal RNA, 400 nt
Filed under: uncultured bacterium
Lineage: Bacteria
Description: bacterial SSU rRNA
Rfam family: Bacterial small subunit ribosomal RNA
Source: RNAcentral